UGAUGCAGCAACGCCGCGUGAGGGACGACGGCCUUCGGGUUGUAAACCUCUUUUAGCAGGGAAGAAGCGAAAGUGACGGUACCUGCAGAAAAAGCACCGGCUAACUACGUGCCAGCAGCCGCGGUAAUACGUAGGGUGCAAGCGUUGUCCGGAAUUAUUGGGCGUAAAGAGCUCGUAGGCGGUUUGUCGCGUCUGCUGUGAAAUCCCGAGGCUCAACCUCGGGUCUGCAGUGGGUACGGGCAGACUAGAGUGCGGUAGGGGAGAUUGGAAUUCCUGGUGUAGCGGUGGAAUGCGCAGAUAUCAGGAGGAACACCGAUGGCGAAGGCAGAUCUCUGGGCCGCUACUGACGCUGAGGAGCGAAAGGGUGGGGAGCAAACAGGCUUAGAUACCCUGGUAGUCCACCCCGUAAACGUUGGGCGCUAGAUGUGGGGACCAUUCCACGGUUUCCGUGUCGUAGCUAACGCAUUAAGCGCCCCGCCUGGGGAGUACGGCCGCAAGGCUAAAACUCAAAGGAAUUGACGGGGGCCCGCACAAGCGGCGGAGCAUGCGGAUUAAUUCGAUGCAACGCGAAGAACCUUACCAAGGCUUGACAUAUACGAGAACGGGCCAGAAAUGGUCAACUCUUUGGACACUCGUAAACAGGUGGUGCAUGGUUGUCGUCAGCUCGUGUCGUGAGAUGUUGGGUUAAGUCCCGCAACGAGCGCAACCCUCGUUCUAUGUUGCCAGCACGUAAUGGUGGGAACUCAUGGGAUACUGCCGGGGUCAACUCGGAGGAAGGUGGGGACGACGUCAAAUCAUCAUGCCCCUUAUGUCUUGGGCUUCACGCAUGCUACAAUGGCCAGUACAAAGGGCUGCAAUACCGUAAGGUGGAGCGAAUCCCAAAAAGCUGGUCCCAGUUCGGAUUGAGGUCUGCAACUCGACCUCAUGAAGUCGGAGUCGCUAGUAAUCGCAGAUCAGCAACGCUGCGGUGAAUACGUUCCCGGGCCUUGUACACACCGCCCGUCAAGUCAUGAAAGUCGGUAACACCCGAAGCCAGUGGCCUAACCGCAAGGAUGGAGCUGUCUAAGGUGG
RNAcentral lists this ribosomal RNA (1071 nucleotides) under Plantibacter sp. RNAcentral's name for it is "bacterial SSU rRNA". It matches the Rfam family "Bacterial small subunit ribosomal RNA", at positions 384 to 1465 of the family's 1533-position model. Lineage: Bacteria; Bacillati; Actinomycetota; Actinomycetes; Micrococcales; Microbacteriaceae. The record is from RNAcentral.